UUAGAAGAACCUUGAAAAUUGAGGAAAACAAUCAAAAAAGAACCGAGUUUAGACUUGUUCAUGCAAUAUAUAUAAAACACAUAUUGCAAGUCACAUAGAACAUCCAAUAAUUAAAGCAAACCACAAUUAUUUAGAUAACCAGACAGCAUAUAUACAAACUCAGCCACAUCAUUAGAAGAUAUAUUGGAUGGUUGAAUGCAUUCAACCUAUCAGCAAUUACAAGCUUGGCAGGGACACAUACAUAAGCAGUAUAUAUAAAGACAUGGACAAAUCUUAAAUUUGUUGAUGUCUGCUAGAGGGUUGAAAGUUUUACUUAUGGCAAUAACAUUACUAGCGGACUCGUUCGGGUUUGGAUGACUUAGGUGGGAGACUCUGAUUUUUUCUGGAGAUGCAUUCCCAGUUUCUGCCAUCUGCACAGGCACAGCAGCACCUAAGUUGGACCAAAUAGCAAAAAUCAGGAUAAGGGAUGCUAAGGUUAGGAGGGAUGAUUUGGCCAUGGUGAAAGUGAAGGUAGAAGGAAGUUGAGUUUUAGGGGUUGGAUUGAGAGGAAUUUAUAUUGGAUUUCAUGUGUGUGUUUCCAUGGAAAAUUAAUAGCAGAUCUGAUUCGACUUAAUUUAUGAUGUCAAA
This 627-nucleotide long non-coding RNA is filed under the name Coffea arabica (coffee). RNAcentral describes it as "long non-coding RNA (CARA_LNC002002)". Lineage: Eukaryota; Viridiplantae; Streptophyta; Magnoliopsida; Gentianales; Rubiaceae. The record is from RNAcentral.